CCUACGGGAGGCAGCAGUGAGGAAUAUUGGUCAAUGGGCGCGAGCCUGAACCAGCCAAGUCGCGUGAGGGAAGACGUCCCUACGGGUUGUCAACCUCUUUUGCCGGGGAGCAAUGCCGGGCACGCGUGCCCGGAGGGGGAGUACCCGCAGAAUAAGCAUCGGCUAACUCCGUGCCAGCAGCCGCGGUAAUACGGAGGAUGCGAGCGGUAUCCGGAUUUAUUGUGUUUAAAGGGUGCGUAGUCGGAUUUUUAAGUCAGCGGUAAAAUGGCCGGGCUCAACCCGGGCCGGCCGUUGAAACUGGGGAUCUGGAGUGGGCGAGAAGGAUGCGGAAUGCGUGGGGUAGCGGUGAAAUGCAUAGAUAUCACGCAGAA
This 371-nucleotide ribosomal RNA is filed under the name uncultured bacterium. RNAcentral describes it as "partial 16S ribosomal RNA". It matches the Rfam family "Bacterial small subunit ribosomal RNA", at positions 338 to 706 of the family's 1533-position model. The record is from RNAcentral.